Ictidomys tridecemlineatus (thirteen-lined ground squirrel) is the source of this 104-nucleotide small nuclear RNA. NCBI's taxonomy places the organism in Eukaryota, Metazoa, Chordata, Mammalia, Rodentia, Sciuridae. The record is from Ensembl.
GUGCUUGCUUCAGCACCAUAUAUACUAAAAUUGAAAUGACACAGAGAUUAGUAUGGCCCCUGCACAAGGAUGACAUGCGAAUUUGUGAAGCAUUCAGUUUUUUU